GUGCCUAAUACAUGCAAGUCGAACGCACUCUCGUUUAGAUUGAAGGAGCUUGCUCCUGAUUGAUAAACAUUUGAGUGAGUGGCGGACGGGUGAGUAACACGUGGGUAACCUGCCCUAAAGUGGGGGAUAACAUUUGGAAACAGAUGCUAAUACCGCAUAAAACCUAACACCGCAUGGUGUAGGUUGAAAGAUGGUUUCGGCUAUCACUUUAGGAUGGACCCGCGGUGCAUUAGUUAGUUGGUGAGGUAAAGGCUCACCAAGACCGUGAUGCAUAGCCGACCUGAGAGGGUAAUCGGCCACACUGGGACUGAGACACGGCCCAGACUCCUACGGGAGGCAGCAGUAGGGAAUCUUCCACAAUGGACGAAAGUCUGAUGGAGCAACGCCGCGUGAGUGAAGAAGGUUUUCGGAUCGUAAAACUCUGUUGUUGGAGAAGAAUGUAUCUGAUAGUAACUGAUCAGGUAGUGACGGUAUCCAACCAGAAAGCCACGGCUAACUACGUG
Molecule: ribosomal RNA, 503 nt
Filed under: uncultured bacterium
Lineage: Bacteria
Description: bacterial SSU rRNA
Rfam family: Bacterial small subunit ribosomal RNA
Source: RNAcentral